RNAcentral lists this ribosomal RNA (443 nucleotides) under uncultured bacterium. Its description in RNAcentral is "partial 16S ribosomal RNA". It matches the Rfam family "Bacterial small subunit ribosomal RNA", at positions 338 to 795 of the family's 1533-position model. The record is from RNAcentral.
CCUACGGGUGGCAGCAGUGGGGAAUAUUGGACAAUGGGGGCAACCCUGACCCAGCGACGCCGCGUGAGUGAAGAAGGCUUUCGGGAUGUAAAGCUCUUUUGGCAGGGACGAAAAACGUGACGGUACCUCACUACUAAGCCACGGCUAACUACGUGCCAGCAGCCGCGGUAAUACGUAGGGGGCAAGCGUUAUCCGGAUUUACUGGGUGUAAAGGGAGCGUAGGCGGGGAUGCAAGUCAGAUGUGAAAGGCGGGGGCCCAACCCCGGGACUGCAUUUGAAACUGUAUGGCUGGAGUGCAGGAGAGGUAAGUGGAAUUCCGUGUGUAGCGGUGAAAUGCGUAGAUAUUCGGAGGAACACCAGUGGCGAAGGCGGCUUGCUGGACUGUAACUGACGAUGAGGCGCGAAAGCGUGGGGAGCAAACAGGAUUAGAUACCCCAGUAGUC